UUUUUCAGAAAAAACUACACGUGGAAGUUGGGACAAUACUAGACAGCUGCAUACUGAAAUCCAAGAACUAAAGAGCAUUGUUGAAAACCAAAACAUGAUGAUUAUGGGAGAACUGACAACUCACAAUGUUUUAUUAAAUCAACUUUUGCACCAAGAAUCCAUCACAGACGACGUCAUUCAAGUCUUCCCUUUAAAAUCUUUGGAGGAUGUAGAUAAAAUUAACAUAGAACUAUCUGGGCCAAACAAAGCAGUUUAUGCAAAAGCAAUAAAGUCACUAUUAAAGGGAAAGCUGACAAAAAAAUUGGAUACUGUAAUGUCUAUGGACCUAAUAAUAUCAUUUAAUAUAGAUGGAGUUCACGGAAAACAGAGUUUGAAAGAAUAUAGAAAUUUUUUCGAAAUUUUGUUAGGUACAUAUGUAAAUACCU
Molecule: long non-coding RNA, 425 nt
Organism: Rhagoletis zephyria (snowberry fruit fly)
Lineage: Eukaryota; Metazoa; Arthropoda; Insecta; Diptera; Tephritidae
Source: RefSeq, a predicted model, not a curated record